RNAcentral lists this transfer-messenger RNA (355 nucleotides) under Lysobacter sp. It matches the Rfam family "transfer-messenger RNA". From Rfam's summary of the family: Bacterial tmRNA, also known as 10Sa RNA or SsrA, is named for its dual tRNA and mRNA-like properties. The record is from RNAcentral. Lineage: Bacteria; Pseudomonadati; Pseudomonadota; Gammaproteobacteria; Lysobacterales; Lysobacteraceae.
GGGGGUGCACUGGCUUCGACGGGGGUUGCGAAAUCGCUUGGCGCAUGCCGAGGGGGUAGCUUUCCUCGUUAAUCCAGCUGCAAAACCUCAGACGCCAACGACGACGUCUACGCUCUCGCCGCUUAAGGCGUAAGCCCUGAACCCACUUGUGUCUGUGCUCGUGGAUGUAGGGUCAUCAUCACAGAAUCGGCCGUGGCGGCGACCCGUCAACCGCGGCUCAACCUAAAGCGGGUGUGUACUGCGGUGUGCCUCGCACGUCGUGUUGCCGCAGGACGAGAACGAACGGCGAGCUAAGCAUGUAGUGCUGGGCAUGGAGCAUCUUCGGACGCGGGUUCGAUUCCCGCCACCUCCACCA